CUUCUUCUUUCCUCUUCUGCUCCUCUUCUCCUCUGUUCUUCUCUGUUUCAUGACGAGAGAUGAAGGUGAGGUUGAUUGUGUAUGAGCGUUUCUUCUCAUGCUUGGUGUAUUUAUGAACUGAGUGAAGUGGUGACGUUACUGAAGAUGAUUUAGUUCUGGAAAAGCAACGAAUUGUUCAUCUUUAUUAACAACAAUCGAUUCAAAAGAUGAACCCGUGGAUUGUGGAUCUCGAGGUAGGCAUGGCUUGUCAUCAAUUCAGUUUUAACAUUCAGGAGACACGUGAAGAUAUUCGUUUCCGUAGCGUAAAGUUUCAGCGAAUUGAAGAUAUUUAUUUAUAUUUUAUAUAUGUAUAUUUUCUCUGUAAACAACACAUGGUUAUAUUCGUAUCACAUGAGAGAUCUUCAUUUUAUCUGUAACAGAGUGUAUGGGUUUUGCUUUUGGGCUUAGUUUAUGUAGUCUAGAUUCUUGAGAUCGUUAGUCUAGAUUUUAUGCUUCAAUUAGUUUGUAAUCCUAUUAGCUAAGCAGGUUUAGUAAUUGGGGCGUCACAAGUUGGUCAUUGGAAAGAUGCAUGUGUAUUUUGGUGCGCUUUAUAUGUCCAUAUGCGAACUAUGAUGCAUCGAUACUGAUACGGGGAUUCGUCAAUUUUCAUAAAAUGGGAUACGGUGGGA
Molecule: long non-coding RNA, 668 nt
Organism: Papaver somniferum (opium poppy)
Lineage: Eukaryota; Viridiplantae; Streptophyta; Magnoliopsida; Ranunculales; Papaveraceae
Exons: 3
Source: RefSeq, a predicted model, not a curated record